CUUGCUUUAAGAAUGGAGUCUUAAAGUAGUGUCUCCAACUGUGUCGAUUAAGGACCGUACCGUUGAUUGGCCUGUUGUGAUUGAGAACUUUGAGUACAGCCCACAUGCGGCGGUAAGCCUUACCUAUAGCUAUUCCGAUACUUGAGAACGGCUAACCGCGUACUGGGAGUGGAAAGAUGGCGAGAGUAGCGUGUACCCACCUUACGGAUCUGAGAUGACCGGGAAACAUCUAGAUUGGCUGUAGGAUGGUGGUGUACUGUACUCUCGGGUGACGCUGGACCCGUUCUUGUAUGGGAGGAUCUAUAGAAAAGGUUGACAUAUGCAAGAUUAAGUUCUACAUAUGUCGUGUGGUACUGAAUCCCCAGCUGGGUUUAAUCGAUUCGAAUCGCCGUGUUUCCUCGGAUAUGGAGCCUCAAUCCUCACACCAUCAUCGUAGUAACAAGUGAAUCUUUGGUAUAAGAAAGAUGUGGUAUACUUAUGCAAGUUUGAUAAUAGUUUUGGUUAGUCAUAAAUGAUAACCUUGAGUUAAAACUUGAAAGUAGGUUUAAUCUUAGUAAGCUUUUAUGCAAAAGAAAUGCUUUGAUCUUGCUAAAGCUUUACCUUGAAUCCCUAUAGCCUGCAUACCUGAGUCUUCACCUCUUUUCUAGUCGGUUAAGUCUUGUUGAGUACUUUUGUACUCAGGGUUUUAUAACCCCUGUUGCAGGUGCUGACUUAGACUGCUAAUGGAGGUCAUGUCGGUGGGCGCGACAUGAUUUAUCCACCUCUUCUACCUUAGAAGCUUCACCUAAGAUGCUUCCGCUACUCUAUACACCUUUUGGAAAUUUAGUUAAGUUUAUACUUCAUCAUAUGUUGUAAAUUAAGUUAUAAAUCUUCCGCACUCUGAUGUAAGUUAUUUUUGUAACAAAUGUUGUAAUGUUGUGGUAACUCCAUGUUGAUCCUGUAUGAGAUAAAAUGUGGAUGAUUCGGGGUCCUCCGAGGAUACCCGACAAACUUCUUGAGUCAUUUGGAACUCGUGCAUGCCGAUCACAAGUCUUGGAGACAAUGAUGGGUGCAUGUGGGCCACUUAAUUCAGGAGGUUCUGCCACAGCUGGUAUCAGAGCUCAUACAUGGAUCUUCUGCAACAUUACUUGUGAAAAAUUUCAAAAGGAAUUUACAAAUUAAAAGUUUUGAGGAUAACAACUUAUAAAUAUUCCUUAACUUUUCUUAUGCUUGCUGUUCGGGUUCUACGAAGACUUUCUGCUGACUCAAAUAGAAGACAUUAAAAGAGGCUUCAAGUCUUCGACAAGCCAAGUAAAGAAUCAAACUACUCCAACAAUGCUUUGUCAACAGUCUUGCAGCCUCCCUUUUGAAGCAAUAAAGAUAGUGUAUAAAGUAUGCCCUAUAUAAGCAAUUAUCUCCUAGCUAACGUUGUAAAGACGUAUGGGACGAGCAUAUUGCAUAUCUUGCAUAACAUGACAAUAUAAUGAUACUUAAAAGCCCCUCCUUAUGCUUCAAAACAGUUAUUAUUCGUUAUAGCUGUUUUAUUGAUGAAUCUCAUCAUGUACCAGGUUUCGUUAACUGAUUGAUAAUCUUUUACUCCAUAAGAUCCUAAUCCUUGAUUCAUUUGUUAUGCAUGUGACCUUCCUUGAUUUCAUCUAAUUCGGACACAUGCUACCUCCUUGAUAUCUUUUGUCAACAUUUUUGUUGAUUGAAUGUCACUAUGAUUGUGUCCUCUUAAGGUACCAUGACUUGUGACUUAGGUAACAAUGUCAAAACCUGGGAUCUCCUAUGGCUCAUGACCAUGAGGAAAUACUGCUGGGCGCUCAUUGUUAUCAAAGUAUAUGAUCAUGAUCCCUUAUAGUCCACAAUUAGGGUGUUUCAUUCUUUGGACACUCCUUAGGGAUUCAAAGUUGUCCUUUUGAGUUCCCUAAACACCUUGUGAUUGUGAUCGACUUUUGAUCUCAGUUACAUUCUUGGUCUUGUGAGACAUGGGUUAUUGUUGUGGUGCCCUAUAGUGGUGCCAUGUCCCGUGACCACGGUGCCGCGUCGGAACCUAGAGUCUUUUGUGUGUCCGGAUGACACAAAUUUCUACUGGGCGCGUGCAGGUAUCGAGGUUAUGGACAUGAUCCAUUAUAGCCCCACAACUAAGGUGCCCUCGCUCUUUGAGCCCUAUCAUGGGAACCCAUGCCCAUAUCUUUGUGGGAAUUACCUAAAGCCCCUGACUUGGAUAACCAACAUAUGUUGCUUGAAAGCUAUUGUAACUGUACUCUAUAGUAGGUACCAUGAUCCGUGAUCACGUUAUAGCGUCGAACCUCGUAGUCUCCUGUGGACUGCAGCCAUAAGGAAAUACUACAGGGUGCUCGUUAAACAUCGGGAUCUCUGGUCAUGCUCCACUAUAAUCUACUGUUAGUGUGCUUUCAUCCUCCUUGGAAGCUCAUUUGGAGAUUCAUAUCUUCGUAUGAAUUCUCUAAAAUUCCUGAUUGAUUACAACUUCUUGUUGAUCUUAGUUGUAAUUCUUGGACCAAUCGUAAUUGUUGUAUGAACUUCUCAAAAGUUAAUGUGCUUGACACAUUUCCUUUUCCAUUACUUAACCCCAUGGGUUUUAGUACCCUGGAAAUCUCGGGACGAGAUUUCUUUAAGGGGGAAGGGCUGUAACAUCCCUGAUGUUACGAACACUAAAACUGGAUCAUGUCAUCAUAAGCAUUGCAAAGCAUAUUUGUUAAGCACAUUAUUAUGCAUCAACUUAAAAUAAGGUUAUUUUGGUUGAUUGUGCUUAGGAAAUUAAAGUGUGCUUAUAUUGUGUAUGGAUGUUUGUGUUGGUGAUUAAAACCCUGGGUGGAAGUUUUUCCGAAAGACUUAAGGGGGGAAACCCUAGUUUCCAAAACCCUAGAAUUUGUCCCCUUUUGUGCAAUUCAAAAACAAAGCAAAAUUUGAAGUUGAGUUCAAAAGCAAAGUUGUAAAUCUUGUCAAGAUGUACAACUUUGGUGUUUUGAGUUUUUGAAGUUUCAGUACAAAAUUUAAAGUAAUUUUGAAAAUACAAUUUUCCAGAAAUUGUUCCCUUUUCCGAUUUGAAUCCCCAAUUCAAAAUCUAUUUGGAAUUUUGAAAAGUGGUCAACAUGAAAGUUGUAGGGCUCAAAAAGUUGAACAACUUUCAUGUUGGGAGUUUUUCAAGUUGUUUGGAAAAAUUAAAAGUAAUUUUGGAAAUUCUAAUCUGCUCCAAUUCAAAAUUUGGAAUUUCCCCAAUUUGGGAUUUUGAAAUUCAAACUGUUUUGCCAAAUUCACACUUUUCCACUCAGAUUUAGCUUUGGUCACCAAAAGGAGUUUUGUAGCUUGUAAAAUUCUUCACAACUUCCAUUUUGGUGGAAUUUUGUCUUCAGUUCAAAAUUUGGACGAAUUUUGCAAAACCACAAAACUGGUUGGAUAAAGCUUGCUACAGUAUCCGGAUAUGGAUCACGAGUCCAGUCACCGCGCGGCCGCAGGCCGUGCAGCGCCGCGUGCGCGCCUCGCCGCCACGCAGCUGCUUGCCGGCCGCGUCACCGCGCGACGUGGACGCCCGUGACCUCUGCGUCUCGACCUCUUGAGCGCCUGCGCGGCCGACCUCGAGCUCACUUACUCCGGCGACCGAAAGCACCCAGUGAAGCUCCACCGUCCAAUACCCUCUACACGCAACCCCUCUGGCCAAUUCGAGUUCUCCAACACCUUCGCCAUAUCCUUGCGAACCCCGUGUACGCCCAGGAACCCUCCCUGCCCCUCUCAAUCGCCCGGGCGCCGUCUUUCUUCCUCAGCUCCGGCUGAAAACGCCGCCGAGGAGCACCUCAACGUGGACAGGCCACCUCGAGCCAUUGCAGGACAAGCUACGGCCACCAUCAGGUGCGCACUAGUCCGGGCGAGCUUCCCCGCUGCUCCAAUGCCGCCGACGAGCACUCCAGCGCCGAAACCACGAUCUCCGGCGAGUUCCUCUGUUUUCAGUCGCGGCCAGGGACUUCGGGCGACAAUUUGAAGUUUCCCAGGGGUCUAAUUGCAGAGACUGUGACUCAGGUGAAUAGUGCUAUAAGGACUUGUUUGUAGAUGUUUUGUUGAAUCUUUAAAAAUUCAUAUCUAGAGUUUGGUAGCUCCAAUUUUGGUGAACCAAAUUUUGUUGUGCUCCUUGAGAUGUCUAGUUUUUAUUAAAAAUAUGAAACUGACCAUGUUUUGUAUUAAAAUAAUUGGUUAUGAUUUAUGCCUUUUAAUUAUGUUUAAAAAAGGAGAAAUUCAUAUCUUAUUCUGUGUAGAUCCUAUUGCCCUGAAAUUUUUAUGGUGUUCUCAUGAUGUUAUGUGAAUGUUGCAGUAAAAAUUUCAUGUUCAGUAAAUGAUAUAUGGUUAAGUUAUUAAUUUAUCUUAUUUAAUGCUUAUUAAAUAGUUUAAAAUUAAACUAAAAAUAAAUAAAUGUAAAAUAUGGUUCCACUGCCUUUAUAUGAGGUCUUUAUAUCAUACAAAUACAUAAUUUAGCUAUGUGUUUGUAGAAAAUGUCGAGUUUCUUAUUUAUCUUGAUGCUACAUGCUUUCUUGUGAUGGAAAUUUAUCUUUUUCAUGGAAAUUGCUAUACUUAUACAAAUGGUAUGAAAUUUAUACAGUAGACUUUGGAGAGCAUAUAUGUGCUUCUGUAGUUUUCUCAGAUUUUAUUGUGUACUUUUGAUAUAUGGUUAUUACUUUGUCUAUUUAUCUAAAUAAAUUAAUAAAGACAUAAAAAGAAUUUAUUUAGGGAUGACCAUGAUAUUUUCUAGUAUCUCUUUGAUGUAUUUCAACUUUUGGUGAGCUGGGUUUUGCCCAGGUUCAAGUUUGGAACAUAAAUGAAAUAUGAUUUCUCUAUAAUUUAAUUGUUAGUGGUUUCUUGAUAGUUUUUAGAGCAUUAUGAAUUUCUCUAGGUAAAUAAUGUUGGAUAUGAAACUUGUCUAUAACAAAGUUGUAUAGAAUUCAUGUAUCUAGCUGGUGUUAAAUUUUGGUGGCAUUUGGCUCUAUAGUUUCUGAGUUAUGCCUGUUUAAAUUUAAGUUUCAGAAAUGGUUUCUUUCUGUCAAAUCCUGGAUCAGUUUCUGUAGUUGUGCAAUUUCAACCUACUAAACUUAUGAAUUAUGUUUUCAUGAUAAAAGAUGAAUUGUAGUAAUUUUCAUAAGCUUUCCAAAAUGUUAUGGAUCAUGAAUUUUGAUGAUCUAGAACUCUGGUUAUAGAUGUAUGAAUCUUAAUGUCUGAUUCUGUCCAAGGUCUGGACAGAAUUGUUUAUUCAUACUGUUUGGCCAUGUUAUCUAUUAAAUCAGUUCUCGAAGAUAAUAAUAAAGUUGUAGAAAAUUAUAUAAGCUUUCCAGAAAGUCUAAUAUCACCUUUAUUGGAUGCUUGGAUCUCUAAUUAUGGUUGAAUAAAGUUGUGUAUAUGCUGCUGUCCUGGUUAUGUUGGUAAAUAGAGUUGAUUGUUUUAGCUAGCCUUUACUUAAAUAAUGAUUAGCUUAAUUUCCAAAUUAGAAUUUGAGUGCUUUUGGGAUUAUGUGAUGACCUGAGGUCAUUAUCUUUUAAUGACCUUUGGCACUUAAUUAUUGUUUGAUGUUAAUACUUAAUUAUUGUCUUUAAUAUUUAAUUAAGAAUUUAUUAAGAUAAAUAGAAAGCAUAAUCAUUUUAGGUUUUGAUUGAUCUUUGGGAUUGAUUGAUAACCAGUGGCUACUUGACAUGAUAUGCUCCCUGGUUAAGGAUUCUUUCAUGUAAAUGAUCUUUGUUGCUUAAUAACUACACAACAUUGCUUAAUGAAGAUGAUAAAAUUUGCUUAGUAGUAAUCUAUGCUUUGAUAACUAAGUUAGUUUGUUUCUAUACCAUGAAGGUGAGUUGUACUCGAGGUAGUUUUGUUUGUUGUUAUCAUCCAAGAACAUGUAACCUGUCUUUAUCAUGUCAUGAGCAUCUCAUUGAUCAUGCAUAUGCACCUCUACGUGUAGACUACGCUCCAGAGGAAUCUGAUCCUCAGUGGGUUGCUUCCGAGUUUGUGGGUCCAUCUGGUUUUGCUGAGUUGUCGGACUUCCCUUCCGGUCAAGGCAAGCCCCGGACAUUAAACCCUAUCCUUGUAUUUUCAUAAAGUUAUUUAUAUCACUUGAGUUAAUAUGAUGCAUUAGGUGAAUAGGAGUUGAGUGAAUCCUAUUUGCUGCAUUAUCUACCUUGAUGAUUUCCAUAUUAACCUUGAUACCUGCUUUAUGAAAAUGCUUAGUAUGCUUAGCCCUGCUUAUUAGAUAAGUUUUCAAAUGAGAACGUUUGAAGGGUCGUUGUGGAAUACUGUUAUGGUUAAUAAUGUUUAAACUUGAGACCGGUCGGUGGACUUGCUUUAAGAAUGGAGUCUUAAAGUAGUGUCUCCAACUGUGUCGAUUAAGGACCGUACCGUUGAUUGGCCUGUUGUGAUUGAGAACUUUGAGUACAGCCCACAUGCGGCGGUAAGCCUUACCUAUAGCUAUUCCGAUACUUGAGAACGGCUAACCGCGUACUGGGAGUGGAAAGAUGGCGAGAGUAGCGUGUACCCACCUUACGGAUCUGAGAUGACCGGGAAACAUCUAGAUUGGCUGUAGGAUGGUGGUGUACUGUACUCUCGGGUGACGCUGGACCCGUUCUUG
This 6595-nucleotide long non-coding RNA is filed under the name Sorghum bicolor (sorghum). RNAcentral describes it as "long non-coding RNA (SBIC_LNC018381)". The record is from RNAcentral. Lineage: Eukaryota; Viridiplantae; Streptophyta; Magnoliopsida; Poales; Poaceae.